CACGUAGGGGCGAGCGUUGUCCGGAAUUACUGGGCGUAAAGGGCGCGCAGGCUGUUAUGCGAGUCUGCUGUGAAAUGUACCGGCUCAACCGGUGCCUUGCGGCGGAUACUGCAUAGCUGGAGUACUGGAGAGGGAAGUGGAAUUCCCGGUGUAGCGGUGAAAUGCGUAGAUAUCAGGAGGAACACCGGUGGCGAAGGCGGGUCUCUGGGUAGUAACUGACGCUGAGGAGCGAAAGCAUGGGUAGCGAACAGGAUUAGAUACCCGGGUA
RNAcentral lists this ribosomal RNA (268 nucleotides) under uncultured prokaryote. RNAcentral's name for it is "partial 16S ribosomal RNA". It matches the Rfam family "Bacterial small subunit ribosomal RNA", at positions 524 to 792 of the family's 1533-position model. The record is from RNAcentral.